Molecule: ribosomal RNA, 483 nt
Filed under: uncultured bacterium
Lineage: Bacteria
Description: bacterial SSU rRNA
Rfam family: Bacterial small subunit ribosomal RNA
Source: RNAcentral
AGGACGAACGCUGGCGGCGCGCCUAACACAUGCAAGUCGAACGGAGAUUCUUAACGGAAGCUUCGGGUGGAAGUUAAGCGUCUAGUGGCAACGGGUGAGUAACACGUGAGGAACCUGCCUUUCAGAGGGGGGAUAACACUUAGAAAUAGGUGCCUAAUACCGCAUAAGACCACACCUCGGCAUCGAGGAGAGGCCAAAGGAGCAAUCCGCUGAAAGAUGGACUCGCGUCUGAUUAGAUAGUUGGUGGGGUAACGGCCUACCAAGUCGACGAUCAGUAGCCGGACUGAGAGGUUGAUCGGCCACAUUGGGACUGAGACACGGCCCAGACUCCUACGGGAGGCAGCAGUGAGGGAUAUUGGGCAAUGGGGGAAACCCUGACCCAGCGACGCCGCGUGAGGGAAGAAGGUUUUCGGAUUGUAAACCUCUGUCUUUAGGGACGAAGAAGUGACGGUACCUAAGGAGGAAGCCACGGCUAACUACGUG